Molecule: long non-coding RNA, 889 nt
Organism: Galeopterus variegatus (Sunda flying lemur)
Lineage: Eukaryota; Metazoa; Chordata; Mammalia; Dermoptera; Cynocephalidae
Exons: 2
Source: RefSeq, a predicted model, not a curated record
AGCUGUCUUUCAAAAAUGAAGACGAAAUAGAAGAUAUUUCCAGAUAAACAAAAACUGAGAGAAAUUGUCUCUAGCAGGCCCGUCUCAUAAGAAAUACUAAAGGAAAACCUUCAGUCAGAAGAGAAAUUACAGCACAUAGUAAGUAACUCAGAAAUGCAGGAAGAAAUGAAGAGUCCUGGAAAUAGCAAAUAUGUCAGUAAAUAUAAGGAUUUUAUGUUUUUCUCUUUUCUUCAGACAUAUUUUUGACCAUCUUCAAAAGCAGAAUCCCAAGACAAUGGAAGAGGCCCUAGGGUGGUGCAGCAGAAAGGAUCCGCGUGUGGACAGCAGAGCUGAGCUGUGGAGUAGCUCUGUGGUCUUAGACAACUUCCUGUCAUUGGAUCUUUGAGGCACCAUCCUCUGUAAAGUAGAAUUAAUAAUGUCCACCCUGUGAGCUUGUACUGAGGAUGAAGAUAAUGAUUAAAGAGCCCAGCACAGUGCUUGGUACACAGCAGAUGUUCAAUAAGCGAACAUGUGGCAGCUCUCAAUCUGCAAGUGACCGGCCUUUUCUCAGAAUCGUGGAAUAGGAACGGGCAGCCUGAUCUUACUUCUACCAGGGAAGUGCCCCUCGGCAUACCUGCAGGAAUGACCUGGCUGACAUUCUUGUCGUGACCCUUUUGAAAUCCAGAAUCUCUCUAUAAAUAGUAUAACAAUUUCCAAUCCCUUGUUUCCUCAGAUAUAUCUGUGACUUACUGCCUGAAUCAACUAUUAGCUCACAGCCAUACCCAUGUUUUCUAAAUCACCGGAUUUCAAAAGCUCUGUCCCCUGUGCCAGCAAUAACCUCCACUAUGUAAAUAAAUCAAUAAACAAGGCACCCUGUUUUAAUCUUAUUAAAAAAUACCAAGGCAAUGAA